CUCUGACUGGGGGUGGAAGAGGAAUGAACAAGUCCACCCCAGCGUAAAAAUAAGAUGAAAAUAUAAAAGAAUGUCAGUGUUGAAGGUUACUCCUUUUGAUUUUGCCAAUAUCCCGGAACCAUGUGAGCACAUGAACAUUCCAAAGAAGAAGAUACCUCCAGGUUCUUCAGAUGAGUCUCACUCUGUUGCCCAGGCUGGAAUACACUGGCACCGUCUCAGCUCACUGCAACCUCCGACUCCCUGGUUCAAGCGAUUCUCCUGCCUCAGCCUCCCAAGUAGCUGGGAUUACAGAUAAGAAUAUGGAAUGCUCACUCCACAACAUUGUUUGUGAAAAUCUUCAGAUUUAUUUUAUUGAACAAGGCUAUAAAAGUAUUUACAGAGGAGAGGGAAAGAGAGCACAGUGGAGAGAUGCCUUGGGAGAGAGCUGUUACUGGCCAUGGUGUCAUUCUUCUUCCACAGGGAGAAGCAGAUCCAAACUGAGAAGGGAGAAGAUGUGAUAGUUGAUAUCACAACAAGCUUGAGUUUUGAUUAAUAUCUUGGACAGGACAUUCUAUGUUCCAAAUAGAGAUUGUGUGUUACAAAGUGACUGCAGGACCAAAAAUGAGUAGCAAAUUCAUGAACCUCUUAGAUUUUUUUAAUUUAGGACAUGAUGAGAUUACUGCCAGUGACUCAACUUUUAAAAUACAAGGAAUAACUAAAUAAAUAAAGUAAAAUUGCACUU
RNAcentral lists this long non-coding RNA (721 nucleotides) under Homo sapiens (human). RNAcentral describes it as "HSALNT0309292". Lineage: Eukaryota; Metazoa; Chordata; Mammalia; Primates; Hominidae. The record is from RNAcentral.